CCUACGGGAGGCAGCAGUGAGGAAUAUUGGUCAAUGGGCGGGAGCCUGAACCAGCCAAGUCGCGUGAGGGAAGACGGUCCUAUGGAUUGUAAACCUCUUUAGGCGGGGAGCAAUGCCGGGCACGUGUGCCCGGAGGGAGAGUACCCGCAGAAUAAGCAUCGGCUAACUCCGUCCCAGCAGCCGCGGUAAUACGGAGGAGGCGAGCGUUAUCCGGAUUUAUUGGGUUUACAGGGUGCGUAGGCGGAAUUUUAAUUCAGCGGUAAAAUGUCCGGGCUCAACCCGGGCCGGCCGUUGAAACUGGGGAUCUUGAGUGGGCGAGAAGUAUGCGGAAUGCGUGGUGUAGCGGUGAAAUGCAUAGAUAUCACGCAGAACUCCGAUUGCGAAGGCAGCAUACCGGCGCCCGACUGACGCUGAGGCACGAAAGCGUGGGGAUCGAACAGGAUUAGAUACCCGGGUAGUC
Molecule: ribosomal RNA, 460 nt
Filed under: uncultured bacterium
Lineage: Bacteria
Description: partial 16S ribosomal RNA
Rfam family: Bacterial small subunit ribosomal RNA
Source: RNAcentral